UCUGUGCCUUUAAUUCAUGGCAGCAACCUGCUGUGACAUUGGGUAGGCCCAUCAUGUGACCGGGAGGCACCAAUAGGCAGCAGUUAAAGUUCUUUAAAAACAGGGCACCGGCUACUGGCAAGGGGGAGAUCUUAUUGUUGUCAGUUUAGCAGUCUGGUUUCAUUGUUGUUCACGGGGAAGAGCCAGUCCCGUAGAGUCUCAGUAUAGGAGCUGGUGACUUGAGUGUUGCGUUUCUAGCCAGACUGCUGGGAACUACUUGGUCUGUCACUUGGCCUAUUUUCGGUUUUGGACUCCGGUGUUGUGUCCUUCUCGUUACUGCUAUAAUCUGUGCCUCGCCGGUCACGGUGACUGGCUGACCCGGUGCUGGGCUCUGUCUGCUGAGUGGGCUGCUGUUUUGGUUUUAAGUUUCAGAUGUGUGCAUGAGUGUGUGAGUGCUUGGACCGACAGUGAAUGCAUGGGUUUUGAGUACUUAAGAGAAUGUGAUCUGUCCUGGUUAAUGUGUGAGUGCAGGCACGUUAUUUUCUUUUGAUUUGGUUUGUUUCUUUCUUGUGAUUGUGGAUGGGAAGUGAGAGUUACCGUCUGAUUGAUAUGUGAUUUAUGUUCUUUGUUUGUUGGUACUAGCCUACACACAUUACUUGCACCAGUCUAUUGUCUGGAUUGACCCAACCCAGUAGCUUUUAGUGUGCUGUGCUUUGAAGUGCUCUUGUGUGACUUGUGGGGUGGAAUCUUUCAUAUGCAUGCAUGUUUUAAGUAGAAGUGUUCACCUGUCUUGCCGUGCUUAUCCUUAACUAAAUCUACCCUACACUUUGGGGAUAAUCUGGGCAUUUUACUGAUUUAUAUGUGUGUAUCAAGUCCGACAUCAGUGUUUGUGUAUUUAUAUGGUGUACUAUAUGAGAUAAAUUGUAUUAUUAAAAGAGAAGUAAUAAUUUCCUGA
Engraulis encrasicolus (European anchovy) is the source of this 934-nucleotide long non-coding RNA. RefSeq lists it as uncharacterized. Lineage: Eukaryota; Metazoa; Chordata; Actinopteri; Clupeiformes; Engraulidae. The record is from RefSeq and is a predicted model, not a curated record. The transcript is spliced from 3 exons.